Molecule: ribosomal RNA, 305 nt
Filed under: uncultured bacterium
Lineage: Bacteria
Description: bacterial SSU rRNA
Rfam family: Bacterial small subunit ribosomal RNA
Source: RNAcentral
UCGUCCUACGGGACGCAGCAGUGGGGAAUAUUGGGCAAUGGGCGCAAGCCUGACCCAGCAACGCCGCGUGAAGGAAGAAGGCUUUCGGGUUGUAAACUUCUUUUCUCAGGGACGAAGCAAGUGACGGUACCUGAGGAAUAAGCCACGGCUAACUACGUGCCAGCAGCCGCGGUAAUACGUAGGUGGCAAGCGUUAUCCGGAUUUACUGGGUGUAAAGGGCGUGUAGGCGGGAAAGCAAGUCAGAUGUGAAAUCCGGGGGCUCAACCCCCGAACUGCAUUUGAAACUGUAGGUCUUGAGUAUCGGG